CGCUGGCGGCGCGCCUAACACAUGCAAGUCGAACGAGCGAGAGAGAGCUUGCUUUCUCGAGCGAGUGGCGAACGGGUGAGUAACGCGUGAGGAACCUGCCUCAAAGAGGGGGACAACAGUUGGAAACGACUGCUAAUACCGCAUAAGCCCACGACCCGGCAUCGGGUUGAGGGAAAAGGAGCAAUCCGCUUUGAGAUGGCCUCGCGUCCGAUUAGCUAGUUGGUGAGGUAACGGCCCACCAAGGCGACGAUCGGUAGCCGGACUGAGAGGUUGAACGGCCACAUUGGGACUGAGACACGGCCCAGACUCCUACGGGAGGCAGCAGUGGGGAAUAUUGCACAAUGGGGGAAACCCUGAUGCAGCGACGCCGCGUGGAGGAAGAAGGUCUUCGGAUUGUAAACUCCUGUUGUUGGGGAAGAUAAUGACGGUACCCAACAAGGAAGUGACGGCUAACUACGUG
RNAcentral lists this ribosomal RNA (460 nucleotides) under uncultured bacterium. Its description in RNAcentral is "bacterial SSU rRNA". It matches the Rfam family "Bacterial small subunit ribosomal RNA", at positions 34 to 507 of the family's 1533-position model. The record is from RNAcentral.